This 709-nucleotide ribosomal RNA is filed under the name uncultured Alphaproteobacteria bacterium. RNAcentral's name for it is "bacterial SSU rRNA". It matches the Rfam family "Bacterial small subunit ribosomal RNA", at positions 28 to 775 of the family's 1533-position model. The record is from RNAcentral. Lineage: Bacteria; Pseudomonadati; Pseudomonadota; Alphaproteobacteria.
AACGAACGCUGGCGGCAGGCUUAACACAUGCAAGUCGAACGCACCUUCGGGUGAGUGGCAGACGGGUGAGUAACGCGUGGGAACCUACCCAUUGGUACGGAAUAACCCGGGGAAACCCGAGCUAAUACCGUAUACGCCCGGUCCUUAUGGAUCGGGGAAAGAUUCAUCGCCGAUGGAUGGGCCCGCGUCGGAUUAGCUUGUUGGUGUGGUAACGGCGCACCAAGGCGACGAUCCGUAGCUGGUCUGAGAGGAUGAUCAGCCACACUGGGACUGAGACACGGCCCAGACUCCUACGGGAGGCAGCAGUGGGGAAUAUUGGGCAAUGGGCGCAAGCCUGAUCCAGCCAUGCCGCGUGAGUGAAGAAGGCCUUAGGGUUGUAAAUCUCUUUCGGCGGGGAAGAUAAUGACGGUACCCGCAGAAGAAGCCCCGGCUAACUCCGUGCCAGCAGCCGCGGUAAUACGGAGGGGGCUAGCGUUGUUCGGAAUUACUGGGCGUAAAGGGCACGUAGGCUGGCUGUUAAGUCGGGGGUGAAAUCCUGAGACUCAACCUCAGAAUUGCCUCCGAUACUGGCGGUCUCGAGUGCGGGAGAGGUGAGUGGAAUUCCCAGUGUAGAGGUGAAAUUCGUAGAUAUUGGGAAGAACACCAGUGGCGAAGGCGGCUCACUGGCCCGCAACUGACGCUGAGGUGCGAAAGCGUGGGGAGCAAACAG